This is a long non-coding RNA of Osmerus eperlanus (European smelt), 746 nucleotides long. RefSeq lists it as uncharacterized. NCBI's taxonomy places the organism in Eukaryota, Metazoa, Chordata, Actinopteri, Osmeriformes, Osmeridae. The transcript has 6 exons. The record is from RefSeq and is a predicted model, not a curated record.
CUGAGCGGCGCCGUAGCCCGCUUUUUGAAGGUAGUAAGCGCUAGCGCAAAGAAAACAUGUCCUUCUCUGUGCUGGCCGACAGUGACAGGCAGUCUGAACUACGAUUGCAUGAAAACAUACAACAGGUCACCAUGCUCGUUUUCUGCUGCGGUGACCGGGGAUUGUUGGAGUUGUUGCCAACAUGUUAGCAGUCAGAAAAGUUGUCGAGAUGGAUACUCUAAGAAUGCAAGACUCACUAAAAUUGGAUCUUGAACUCCUGUCAGACAGGGCCUGCCUUGCGAAGUAUCCCAACUAUCCAUUUACCAGUGAGACAUACUGUAUGGAGGAAAGGUUAAAGUAAUCUGAACACAUGGAAGCCUACAUCAGGUAAUUGAAGACUGGGUUAUUAAAAUGCAGUAUGAUUAGCUGUGUCAGCCGAAGAGAAAGAGGAUUUUGAAUGGUGCGGUUGUUCUUUAUGCAAAGCUGAGACGCGACGCCUUCCAGACGGUGAGAGAUGGCAAGCCCUAAUAAUACAGAGCUGUACAAUGGUUCUGACAGGCGAGCAAUAAAGCAAUCAGGGUCCUAGGCAUUCCAAAUCUCUUUAACGCCCACCCUCUAACAGUCUGAGAGAUGGGCGGCUGACCUGCAGGCUGUCAAUCAUGGCGAAUACCUGCUGGAGCCUGAUCAGGGAGAACCGAGGGCACCAGUCUAUCAGAUCUGUUUUCACACUCCAGACACUAACAUUGCAAGCAUAACCACAUAGACAA